UCAUACGAGUACUGAAAAAAAGGAAACAUCCAAGGAAUAAUAAGCCAAUCAUAUAAAAGAGAGAGAAAAGUGGUGUUUGUUUUUUUAGGGGAUACCGGUAGAUAGUCUCCAACACCACCCCCGGGGGCACAGGUUUGUCCUAACAGAUGAAGAUUAUAUAAUAUAUAUACUUACCAUCACCAUGUUUCCUUUGUGAGACAACUGUUUUUGCCAUGCCUUGGGUUGUUAUUAAGGUACGACUACAAUCCCAUGCAAAAUCUCUUGUUUUACUAGUGGGUUAACACUAAUAAUCUGCAAUGAUAUAUGAAAAACUUCAAUCUUAUCCUGCUGAUAAAUUAAACAAAUAUAGUCAGCCAUCCAUUCAAUAUAAGAGAAGAAGAGGCUGACAAUGAAUUGAAAUAUACCUGCCUAGAGUUGAGAGUUAGUGGAUGAAAGUUUGACAAUGAAUCAAUAAGGUCAGAAUUCAAUAAGAAAAUGAGGAAAUCAUUUGAAUUUAGUUAUAGACGACUGACUAAACAAACAAGAUCAGCAAACGCAAGAGAAGCGACCCAUCAAUGGGCAAAUAGUGAGUGAGUUAGUGCUCAUAGAUAGACAGGGAAUGAGACGAAAUUGAGAGAUUUGAUAGUCAAAUGACUGAUCAACGUUCUUUCCUGGGAUUGAAAUCGGGUAUAAAUUAAUAAUAAGAAGAAGGGGGGAGGAGAGAGAAGUGAGUCUUCCGUGGAGGGAGAGGAAGACCACACAGCGAAUGAGAGGUAAUAAUAAAUGGGCAUUGGAGAAAAAAGGUUGAUGCUUUUGAGAGAAGGGGAACUGGCCAUUGCUGGAAUGACACGACUAUAAAGUGAGAAUCCUGCUUUAGUUUAAU
Impatiens glandulifera is the source of this 862-nucleotide long non-coding RNA. RefSeq lists it as uncharacterized. The record is from RefSeq and is a predicted model, not a curated record. The transcript is spliced from 2 exons. NCBI's taxonomy places the organism in Eukaryota, Viridiplantae, Streptophyta, Magnoliopsida, Ericales, Balsaminaceae.